Molecule: ribosomal RNA, 554 nt
Filed under: uncultured bacterium
Lineage: Bacteria
Description: partial 16S ribosomal RNA
Rfam family: Bacterial small subunit ribosomal RNA
Source: RNAcentral
UGGGGAAUUUUGGACAAUGGGCGAAAGCCUGAUCCAGCAAUGCCGCGUGUGUGAAGAAGGCCUUCGGGUUGUAAAGCACUUUUGUCCGGAAAGAAAUCCUUGGCUCUAAUACAGUCGGGGGAUGACGGUACCGGAAGAAUAAGCACCGGCUAACUACGUGCCAGCAGCCGCGGUAAUACGUAGGGUGCAAGCGUUAAUCGGAAUUACUGGGCGUAAAGCGUGCGCAGGCGGUUUGCUAAGACCGAUGUGAAAUCCCCGGGCUCAACCUGGGAACUGCAUUGGUGACUGGCAGGCUAGAGUAUGGCAGAGGGGGGUAGAAUUCCACGUGUAGCAGUGGAAUGCGUAGAGAUGUGGAGGAAUACCGAUGGCGAAGGCAGCCCCCUGGGCCAAUACUGACGCUCAUGCACGAAAGCGUGGGGAGCAAACAGGAUUAGAUACCCUGGUAGUCCACGCCCUAAACGAUGUCAACUAGUUGUUGGGGAUUCAUUUCCUUAGUAACGUAGCUAACGCGUGAAGUUGACCGCCUGGGGAGUACGGUCGCAAGAUUAAAACUU